AGCUAUAUUAGUAAAAGGGAUAGGGAUAAAUUUGUCUACUCUAUUUUGACCAGAACCUGAGGUAUCCUUGGCAUCCUGCUUUUUUUUAACCAAGCUCCCAGGUGAUUCUGGGGUACAAACAGGUUUGAGGAAAACCAAGUAGCUCUUAACCAAAGAAGCAGGCCAUGAAUCACAUUACCACUUAUCAGUUUAAAAGCUUGGAAAUGUUUUCUUAUUUCUUCUGUAUAUAAAUUAGAGUAGGCUCAAUGUCAUCCUUAUAAUCACAUCACCAUCACUCAGUUGCUUUCUGAUACAUCUUGAGUCAGGAAGAUGAGGAUCACCAUUUAGCUUGCACAAGAACCCACAACCCCACUGCCUAAGCUGUGGGCAGCAGUGAGCAGCCUACAUGUUAGUUAUGCCUUAUUAAUAGCAACAGCUAGUAUGAGUUACUGUUCUGCUUUACUUCACUGCAAAAUAUCUUUUGGGUUUCAACAACACCUGUAUGCCCAUAGGAGUAUGCCAUGCAUGUGACUCUUCCCUAUCACGUACUAUGGGGGAAAGACAAAGGGCCAAACGUUGCAGCAGGAACCCUGCAGAACUUCAGAUCAGGUCUAUCACUUUGCUCUGUGACACUGGACAUGCUGCUAUGCCUCUCUGGCUCCUGGGUGCCUGGAUGAUCAGAUAAAGCAUCACGCUGACCUGGGCUUCUCACCUGUUUAGCAAUAAACUAUGAAGCAGGAUGCCAGCAAUAAACAUAAGCCCAGCUAAGCCAGGAUACAAAGGAGUGGCUUCAUUUUUUGUUCUCAGAAGGGAGAAAGGAGAGGUGACUCCCACUCAGGCAAUCAUGUCUACCCAGAACCUUAGAAGAUGACCUUAUUUGGAAAAAGGCUCUUUGCACAGACAAUUAGAUAAGAAUCUUGAAAUGAGAUCAUACUGGAUGAGGAUGGGUCAUAAAUCCAAUGUGACUACCCUUAAAAGAGACAGAAAAGGACACACGGAGAAACAGAAGGCCAUGUGAAGAUGAAGACGAGACUGGAGUGAUGUAGUUAUAAGCCAAAGAGCCAGCCCGGAUGACCAAAACCAUUAGAAGCAAAAUAGAAGAAAGGAAGGAUUCUCCCCUAGAGCCUUCAGAGGGAGCAUGGCCCUGCUGACACCUCAAUCUUAGACUUCUGGCUUCUAGAACUGGGAGAGAAUAAAUUUCUUUCAUUUUAAGCCACUAAAUGUGUGCUAAUUUGUUGCAGCAGCUCUAGAAAACUAAUAUAGGGACCAUAAGAAUUCAUUUGAAAAAGGGGUUCUGUGCUCUUAAGAAGGAAUUCCACUGCUACAAAGGUUAACAACCACUAAGCAAGUCCUCAUUUUACGCAGAGAAGCAAUUUGCCCAAUGUCACACAGCAAAUCAGGAAAAAGAAUGGAAGUGUUCUAGAACACACCUGCUGCAGCACUGCCUCCCAGUGGGGAUGACUAGGGAGACCAGCAGGUCACCAGCAGGCCCAGCUGUGCAGCUUCUGUGUUCAGGUUCUCAUGAAGUUAGGACUCCACUUCGCCAUCCACCUGCCUAGCUCCACGGCCCAGACCAGUCUGAUAUGGAUGAGCUGCUUGAACCCUCCUGAGGGGUGGGGAACUUCUAUCUAGGACGGUCAGAACACCUCAGUCUCGGGAAGCCAACUCCAUACAUUAGUUUGACUUGUGGAUUGGCUCUUCUGGAGACACCUUUAAAGGUAGCUCCCAGAAGAGGAUAUGCACUGUCUGGAUAAGUUUGAGGAUAAAAAGACAGAAAGACUUGGGUUCAAACCCCAGCUCCUCGACCUACUGCAUGUCCUUUCUAAACUCAGGCUCCUCAUCAAUGAAAAUGGGGGUACAGUACCCACCUCACAGGAAUGUGGAGGUAAGAAAUGAUGUAUAGUUGAAUUUUGUGAAUGGUGAUACUCAACCACUUUUGACUUAUAAGAACCACAAUUUCAUUCCAUCAGGUUCAACCUAACAUGUGCAGUAUAUAGUGGAGCUGAAAAUAAAAAGGUUUUAAGGCACCAGAUAGCUAAUAAAGGGCCACUGGGAUAUAGACAAAACAUUGGCAUUUUAAAACAUUUUGGACAUACGUGGCUGCCUUCAUCUGACUCAAAGCAAAAACUGAUCAGUGGUGAGGCAGGCACUGUCACUUUUCAUCACAGUCAUUUGAAACAAAGGAUUUUAUAGCUAAGCAGGAGAAGAUUCCUUCCAAAGAAGAUGGAGACAGACCAGACAGUGAACGCUGUCACUAUGUCAUUGGUGGCACCUUGGGCCUGGUCAGUCGCCAACCCUCUGCUUCUUGGGCGUCCAGGUCGAGUGUACUGACAGACGACAUAAUGGACACUGUUGCUUCCCCCAGCAGCCACUGCCCUCUUCCUUUUCCUAACAACAUCCCUAGUGUGCCCAGAAAGCCACCCUCCUGCUGACACCCACGAGGCUCAGAGAAGCUCAGACCUUGCACCUCAGGUGGACUGUCAGCAGAGCCUACUUCUUGGGCCAGUUACUGGCCCAGCCGUGGCAAAGUUACCUGAGUGGGACCAAUUCAGCUGAGGAAUGAGGUGUCGCAUGCCAUGUUCCUACCCACUGGACAGAAAAAGAAGGUGUUGUCCUAAGGCUGCUGGCUGCCAUCUGCUGACCAUGCGGAAACCAGCUUGAGGCAAAGACAGUGCCUAGGACGGCAUGGCCAAAGAGAUACAGACGACCCUGGUGACAUCUCCAAGCCCCAUCUCUGGACAUCCUGCUGUGAGAAAUGGUAACUCCUCAUUGCUGAAGCCAGGUUGGGUUGGGAUUUUGGCUUCCCACAGCCAGAACAUUCCAACUGGUAUGGAGGGAGAACUUGUUUGCAAAGUGUCAUGCAUGAGGCAAACAUGCAGGGUCUGGCUGCAUCUCCUGUUUCUGAGCUCUGUGCUCUAGCUUAGGGGGAUUAUUUGGCAUCAGUUUCCCCUGGACUCUUCUAUAACUUGGGUAAAUGAAGCCCCCUCCCUAAGAAACCUUUUCAUGAGACAUGAAAACAAUCAAAUAGAGGAUCUGCGACAAUUUUCUAUACAGGUGACACCUGCCAGUAGGGAACGAGAACUAAGGCCACCAAAGUGUCACAGCACGGGCAGAAGGUGGGCUUCAGUGAGCCCUGCAGGCAGGAAGUACCAGACCCCUCCUGAGGAGCAAACAAGUCCUCUGGCGUGGCUGUUUCCUGGAGCUUUCAGAGGGACAGAGAUGUGAUAUCUGAACAGUACAAAGGCAGGGGCUAGGAGGCAGUCCAGGGAAUGUGACCCAAGGACACCACACAAUCCAGUCUGGUUGGAAUGGAUGGUUCACAAGGAGAAGUAGAGAGAAACUUAGAAAAAUCAGCUGAGGGUGUGAUGCCAGAUCAAGGAGUUUGAACUGUAUCUUCUAGGCAAUAGGGAGCUAUUAUAGGUCUUGGAGCAGAGCAGCCUGGAGGUUCUCUGGGAGAACAGAGGUAGAAAAACCAGUUAGGAGCUCCCAAGCUCAGAGUCUCCCCAUUUAAUACAGGAGAGGAGAGCCUGAGUGUUAGAAUGGGGGGCCUAGAAGGGAGCGCACAGAGGAAGCUGGUGGGUCACACUCUGCAUGAAGUGGGCACAGGAGCAUGUUCCUGAUGGCAAUUCGAGUCCCAAAGUCUGCAGAUGAUUUAAAUUUAAAUAAAUUCUGAUGAACUCAAAGCUCAUCCUUUAAUAAAACUUCCACUCAUUCACAUCUUAAUGGGCCUUCUUGGUGGUGAGAGAAGAGGAUAAAGUCACAGCUAUGUUGAGGGCCCUGCAGAAAGGAGAAUAUAGUGGGGCCCUGACUUCAUGUCCUUCAUUCAGGUCUUCAAGGCUCUUGUGGAACACGGGCUGAGAACUUCUGGGCCAGCCACAGGUGAGAGGCCAGAGGUCUGUGGCUGCCUUCUUAGCUGGGUUUUAACAUCACCUCCAGUCAGCCUUGUUCAUCUCUAGGGGAGUGUCCCUGUGAGCCUAGAAAUCCUGCAGCUGAGAAAUCUAAUUAAACUCAGUGUUUCCUCAGUCUUUUCCAACCCAUACACCCAUUGAUAAUAAAGAGAAACUCUCUCAUGCCCCAAACUGACCUGUAAAGUUCAGUAUCCCCUUCUCCCUCAUUCAUAAGACUCUCUUCUGCAAAGUCUGCUCCUCAAGACCAGUGGAUUCUAUCAACCUUUACUUUCUGAAAUCGGUAUUUUAUAUCAACAUCUAUCUAUAUAUUUUACUUUUCAAUGUAAAAUUAUAUCACUGCCAUGCUCUUUCAAAUAGGCAUGCCCCCAACUGGACAUUCUCCAUACAACCCCACCAACUAAGAACUACUGUGCUGAACUACAUUAAAGUGCUGAUAUGACCAUUUUUGACCAGUGUCCCAUGGUCCUGCCAUAAGAACCAACUAACCUUACCACCACCAUGGUAUGGACAGUUCUUCUCAAGAGAGGACACCUGCGUGCCCAGUAAGACAUGCCCUCAGCUGGAGUUCCGACAUCUGAUCUCUAGGAGGAAAGAAGAGAAGCCAGGAGCUAGAAAGAAACCAGAAAGAGGGAGAGUUCAUUGACAUUUGAGGUUAGGAGAAGGAAAAAAAAAGGAUAAAAUAAGAAAAGGGACAAAAGGUUUAAAAAGAGAAUGGAAAGACAGCAAGGAGAGACUGUCUUACCAGGGGGUGGAAGGGAGACCACCCUGAGAUCCUCAGCUCAGAUCUAGACCAGGGAACUGAAGAGGAACUCACACUGGGGUGGCAGGGAGGAAGGCACCAGGGAGGAACAUGAGCAGGAGGAACAGUGGGAAUAUUUGUGAGUGUUUACCCUAAAGGAAUGACUGGACUGGCAGUUGUAAGAGGAACUAUGUCAAGCACAGUUCAAACACUUUUUGUAUACACAAAAUAUCAAGGUGCUAAUUUCAGACACUGAUUCUCCUCCCACAAAGUAUCUAGUGAUAACUGUCAUAGCUAAGGAAAUGGUUGGAAUUAUAGGCGUUCCUAGUUCAGUUCACCAAGAGGGCCUGGAAGCAAUGACAGUGCAGUAGCAAUCAGUAUACCCAGCACCCAGAUCUGUGUUUCUAAAAAUCUUUCUCUACAAAAAGGAACCAGAGCUCCUUGGAGAAAUGGUUUAUUCCAGGGCUAGGGCAGGGAAAGUACAAGACAAGCUUGGAACAUUUUGUAGUGCCAGAAUGUAAAAGUAUUAAAAAAAAAAUGAUGGGGAGACAGUGAAAAGGCACAGGAGCCAGCAUGAAAGAGCUCCCAACAGCUAAAUCUUGGAUAAUUUUAGUACCAAAAUUAAAAAGUAAUAGUAAUGAAUUAUAACCCAUAGAAUAAAAUAUCCAUGAGUCAAUAUUGAUAUGAAUAAAUAAUUAGGAGAGAAAGGACAGCUCUUCCUUAGAGAAUUCCAAUUAAAAAAUGUAGAAGCAAUCAUGGAAAUAGAUCACCAUUUGGCAAACAUCACAGUAAUAACUGUUGCAGGCAAGAUCUGCUGAUAGAUACUAAAAUUAGUGGGUGAAAAAGUAUGAUGAGAGGAUAUUUGCAUAGUCUCAAAGAUUCUUCCCAUGAGGUGCAUAUUAAUUACAAAGGUAAAAAUAGAAACUACAGUAGAGAAGCCUGGCAGACAUGCCCUGAACCAAGUAAUCAAAAUUAACAUCACCUGUAAUAACCUAUUGACGUAAUGUACCCCUUUAUAUGAUGCACUGAGACAAGACCUCACUUCUGUGGUUUUCUUGCCCAAAAUGCGUAACUUCAAUCUACAUUUCUAAAUGGGGAUUCGUGAUUCUCGCUCCAGUUCUAGCUCUGAAUAAGGUCUGUAGGUUAGCUAAUAGAGAAAAUCUUAAACCCAAUUUAAGGGAUGUUCUACCAAAUACCUGGCCAGUACUUGACAGGGCUAAGGUCAUAAAAGACAAGGGAAGAUGGAGGAGCUGCCUCAGAUCGGAGGAGACUAAAGAGACACAGCAACUUAAUGCAGUGUGGGAUUCUGGUUUGCGUCCUGGACCAGAAAGGGAAUAUUAGUGGGAUGAUUUUGAAUAAGGUCUGCAGUUUAAUGUGUUGUGUGAAUUUCCUGGUUUUGAUCAUUACAUUGUGCUCUGUAAGAUGUUAUUAGUAGGGGAAGUGGGGAGAAAUGGUUUAUGUAACUUUUUUGUAAGUCUAAAAUGUAUUCAAAAUAAAAAAGUUAUUUUAAAUUAUCUAUUUUUAAAAUAAAUUAGAUAAGAAACAUGA
Molecule: long non-coding RNA, 6174 nt
Organism: Homo sapiens (human)
Lineage: Eukaryota; Metazoa; Chordata; Mammalia; Primates; Hominidae
Gene: POMGNT2-AS1
Product: POMGNT2 antisense RNA 1
Exons: 2
Source: RefSeq, a predicted model, not a curated record